RNAcentral lists this ribosomal RNA (496 nucleotides) under uncultured bacterium. Its description in RNAcentral is "partial 16S ribosomal RNA". It matches the Rfam family "Bacterial small subunit ribosomal RNA", at positions 28 to 506 of the family's 1533-position model. The record is from RNAcentral.
GAUGAACGCUGGCGGCGUGCCUAAUACAUGCAAGUCGAGCGAACAGACGAGGAGCUUGCUCCUCUGACGUUAGCGGCGGACGGGUGAGUAACACGUGGAUAACCUACCUAUAAGACUGGGAUAACUUCGGGAAACCGGAGCUAAUACCGGAUAAUAUAUUGAACCGCAUGGUUCAAUAGUGAAAGACGGUUUUGCUGUCACUUAUAGAUGGAUCCGCGCCGCAUUAGCUAGUUGGUAAGGUAACGGCUUACCAAGGCAACGAUGCGUAGCCGACCUGAGAGGGGGAUCGGCCACACGGGAACUGAGACCGGGUCCAGACUCCUACGGGAGGCAGCAGUGGGGAAUCUUCCGCAAUGGGCGAAAGCCUGACGGAGCAACGCCGCGUGAGUGAUGAAGGUCUUCGGAUCGUAAAACUCUGUUAUUAGGGAAGAACAAAUGUGUAAGUAACUAUGCCCGUCUUGACGGUACCUAAUCAGAAAGCCACGGCUAACUACGU